AGGUAGGUAUGUGUUACGAUGAAGAGUGAGAAGGAAAAAGUGUGGUAUUAGCACCCUAAACAUCUAUAUUACUCUAUAGGAACCUCUUUGAAAAUUUGUACAUGUUUGCUAAAAAAUGGUGUUGUUUGCAAAUGAUUAAGGAGAUGAGAAAAGAAAUGUUUCUUUAAAAUUUUUGUGUUUGCCAAGAUUUUUGAUUCUCAUGCCUACAUACCAACAAAGUG
Molecule: long non-coding RNA, 221 nt
Filed under: Lathyrus oleraceus (garden pea)
Lineage: Eukaryota; Viridiplantae; Streptophyta; Magnoliopsida; Fabales; Fabaceae
Description: Pisum sativum (pea) long non-coding RNA (PSAT_LNC009747)
Source: RNAcentral